RNAcentral lists this transfer RNA (68 nucleotides) under Marmota marmota marmota (Alpine marmot). It matches the Rfam family "tRNA". From Rfam's summary of the family: Transfer RNA (tRNA) molecules are approximately 80 nucleotides in length. Their secondary structure includes four short double-helical elements and three loops (D, anti-codon, and T loops). Lineage: Eukaryota; Metazoa; Chordata; Mammalia; Rodentia; Sciuridae. RNAcentral also lists the same sequence under 1 other name. The record is from Rfam by way of RNAcentral.
GUGGUAGCUCAGUGGUAGAGCACUUGCCUAGCAUGUGUGAGGCACUGGGUUUGAUCCCCAGAACCACA